AUUGAACGCUGGCGGCAUGCCUAACACAUGCAAGUCGAACGGCAGCGCGGGCUUCGGCCUGGCGGCGAGUGGCGGACGGGUGAGGAAUACAUAGGAAUCUGCCCAGUCGUGGGGGAUAACCCGGGGAAACCCGGACUAAUACCGCAUACGACGGUGACGUGAAAGCAGGGGACCUUCGGGCCUUGCGCGAUUGGAUGAGCCUAUGUCGGAUUAGCCAGUUGGCGGGGUAAAGGCCCACCAAGGCGACGAUCCGUAGCUGGUCUGAGAGGAUGAUCAGCCACACUGGGACUGAGACACGGCCCAGACUCCUACGGGAGGCAGCAGUGGGGAAUAUUGGACAAUGGGCGAAAGCCUGAUCCAGCAAUGCCGCGUGAGUGAUGAAGGCCUUAGGGUUGUAAAGCUCUUUUACCCGGGAUGAUAAUGACAGUACCGGGAGAAUAAGCUCCGGCUAACUCCGUG
RNAcentral lists this ribosomal RNA (459 nucleotides) under uncultured bacterium. RNAcentral's name for it is "bacterial SSU rRNA". It matches the Rfam family "Bacterial small subunit ribosomal RNA", at positions 29 to 507 of the family's 1533-position model. The record is from RNAcentral.